This 497-nucleotide ribosomal RNA is filed under the name uncultured bacterium. RNAcentral describes it as "partial 16S ribosomal RNA". It matches the Rfam family "Bacterial small subunit ribosomal RNA", at positions 28 to 507 of the family's 1533-position model. The record is from RNAcentral.
GAUGAACGCUGGCGGCGUGCCUAAUACAUGCAAGUCGAGCGAACGGACGAGAAGCUUGCUUCUCUGAUGUUAGCGGCGGACGGGUGAGUAACACGUGGAUAACCUACCUAUAAGACUGGGAUAACUUCGGGAAACCGGAGCUAAUACCGGAUGAUAUUUUGAACCGCAUGGUUCAAAAGUGAAAGACGGUCUUGCUGUCACUUAUAGAUGGAUCCGCGCUGCAUUAGCUAGUUGGUAAGGUAACGGCUUACCAAGGCAACGAUGCAUAGCCGAUCUGAGAGGAUGAUCAGCCACACUGGAACUGAGACACGGUCCAGACUCCUACGGGAGGCAGCAGUAGGGAAUCUUCCGCAAUGGGCGAAAGCCUGACGGAGCAACGCCGCGUGAGUGAUGAAGGUCUUCGGAUCGUAAAACUCUGUUAUUAGGGAAGAACAGAUGUGUAAGUAACUGUGCACAUCUUGACGGUACCUAAUCAGAAAGCCACGGCUAACUACGUG